Molecule: long non-coding RNA, 801 nt
Filed under: Phoenix dactylifera (date palm)
Lineage: Eukaryota; Viridiplantae; Streptophyta; Magnoliopsida; Arecales; Arecaceae
Description: long non-coding RNA (PDAC_LNC000196)
Source: RNAcentral
GGUUAUCUUCUUUUUCUUCCUUUUUUGGUGGUGGUGGUGGAGGGAUGAGAUUUCUAAGUCCCACUGAUUGCAGCCAUACGAACAAAGACAUUCAUACAUGCAUACAAUAUAAAUUUGUGUUUGUUUGGGGAUACAACAGUCAGAGUAAAUUCUUGUAAUUGUUGAACAGUAGAAGUGCCACCAUGUUUUGUAUUUUCUAUGUAAAUACAUGUUAGGGCAUUCUGGUCAUUUCCAUGGUGAAGUAAUCUUUUUUGCUUGGGUACUCUGGCCCCAUGAGCAACAGGAACUCUGGCCCCAUGAGCAACAGGAACUUUGUAUGUGCCUGCCCAUGUGCACACAUCAAAAUUGAAGAAAAAAAACUUCAAACAACCAAUAAAUGUUUUGUUUAUUUUUCAAGGGCUAACAGUUAUAACAUAUUGCAUGAAAACUUUCACUUCAAAGGACGACAUCUUGCAUGAAUAUUAGAGACAACACAGGAUACAUAUAAAGCAAAUGAGGUAUUGUACAUAAAUGGUAAAUCUGAUGUACUGAAGACCAAGCAACACCUUGUUUGUUGAUGAUGCCUUAAAAUACACUAGGAUCAGACCAAGAAAUAUCGAAUCGGGCCGUACCGCCCGGUUCAGGCAAAAACAAACCGCCCGGUUCUGACCAGGUCGGUUCGAGCAUAUAAAACGGUUCCGGCCUCACCAGUACAAGAGCGAACCAAAUCAAACUAGACCAGUUCCAUUCGGUUCGGCUAGGACUCGGUGCGAACCGGUCAGUUCGCAUCAAGUCCGGGCGCGCGCCGCGUUGUGGCCGCGC